RNAcentral lists this ribosomal RNA (467 nucleotides) under uncultured bacterium. Its description in RNAcentral is "bacterial SSU rRNA". It matches the Rfam family "Bacterial small subunit ribosomal RNA", at positions 329 to 794 of the family's 1533-position model. The record is from RNAcentral.
UUCCAGACUCCUACGGGAGGCAGCAGUGAGGAAUAUUGGUCAAUGGGCGGGAGCCUGAACCAGCCAAGUCGCGUGAGGGAAGAAGGUACUGAGUAUUGUAAACCUCUUUUGCCAGGGGACAAAGGCGGCCACGGGUGGCCGUAAGAGGGUACCUGGAGAAAAAGCAUCGGCUAACUCCGUGCCAGCAGCCGCGGUAAUACGGAGGAUGCGAGCGUUAUCCGGAUUUAUUGGGUUUAAAGGGUGCGUAGGCGGGCUUUUAAGUCGGCGGUAAAAGCCCGGGGCUCACCCCCGGCGAGCCGUUGAAACUGGCUGUCUUGAGAUGUCGAGAGGUAUGCGGAAUGCGCAGUGUAGCGGUGAAAUGCUUAGAUAUUGCGCAGAACUCCGAUUGCGAAGGCAGCAUACCGGCGGCGAUCUGACGCUGAGGCACGAAAGCGUGGGUAUCGAACAGGAUUAGAUACCCUGGUAGA